RNAcentral lists this ribosomal RNA (328 nucleotides) under uncultured eukaryote. RNAcentral's name for it is "partial 18S ribosomal RNA". It matches the Rfam family "Eukaryotic small subunit ribosomal RNA", at positions 1470 to 1796 of the family's 1831-position model. The record is from RNAcentral.
CCCUUAGAUGUCCUGGGCCGCACGCGCGCUACACUGAUGCAUGCAACGAGUUUAUAACCUUGGCCUGAAAGGUCUGGGUAAUCUUUUGAACGUGCAUCGUGAUAGGGAUAGAUUAUUGCAAUUGUUAAUCUUGAACGAGGAAUCCCUAGUAAACGCGAGUCAUCAGCUCGCAUUGAUUACGUCCCUGCCCUUUGUACACACCGCCCGUCGCACCUACCGAUUGAAUGGUUCGGUGAAGAUCUCGGACUUCGAUAUUUAUUCUUUAUUGAGUUUAUAUUGUGGGAAGUUAUCUAAACCUCAUCAUUUAGAGGAAGGUGAAGUCGUAACA